Long non-coding RNA from Teleopsis dalmanni, 648 nucleotides. RefSeq lists it as uncharacterized. The transcript has 3 exons. The record is from RefSeq and is a predicted model, not a curated record. Lineage: Eukaryota; Metazoa; Arthropoda; Insecta; Diptera; Diopsidae.
GGGAAGAAACAAAAUGCAAAAAUUUCGUAAAACUUAAACCACACCAACUUUUUAAGCAACGCAAUGGAAGGCCAGAAUAAAAUAAAACAACAAAGCAAGAAGAAGUAAUGGCUAAAGACGAAUUAUUCAAGACGAAUAAACUUUGUACUACGUAGGAAAUGAAUCUUUUUAACCUCACAGGUGUGCACAAUCAAUCAGCGUGAUCGCAUAAAAAAAUAACAACAACAAACGGCUAUGUGAAAGUGUGCUAGUGUAUACAGUAUAAUGUAUGUUUCUGAACCAACUUUAGCUUUGACUUUAAAUAACGAAACCAAAACGAAGCUCAAAUAAAGAAAUAUUCCCACAACAGUAUUCAACAGAGCGUUCAUGUCGUGUCGGCUUUAUUCAUUUUCAUGGUUUUGUUUCAAAUGGAAGCUCAAAAACAGAAAACAACAAGAAUAAAAACAACAACAAUAACAACAACAAAAACAAUAAAGAGGAGAAAACAAUGGACGUUAGCUUACCAUGUACUCCAAUAACCUGUUGAUCUGAAGUGGCACAUAUAAUAUACCGCAUUUUUUUCUGUAUUGAUUUUUCUAAUGUCAUGAAUACUGUACAUCUCAUUCUCGAAGGCAAAAUAAAAAUUUUCUUUAAAUGGUUUCAAUUUUA